ACGAACGCUGGCGGCGUGCUUAACACAUGCAAGUCGAACGAGAAUCUGCGGAAAGAGGAUUCGUCCAAUUGAAGCAGAGGACAGUGGCGGACGGGUGAGUAACGCGUGAGGAACCUGCCUUUCAGAGGGGGACAACAGUUGGAAACGACUGCUAAUACCGCAUAACAUAUAAAUGUCGCAUGGCAUUUAUAUCAAAGAUUUAUCGCUGAAAGAUGGCCUCGCGUCUGAUUAGCUAGUUGGUGAGGUAACGGCCCACCAAGGCGACGAUCAGUAGCCGGACUGAGAGGUUGAACGGCCACAUUGGGACUGAGAUACGGCCCAGACUCCUGCGGGAGGCAGCAGUGGGGAAUAUUGGGCAAUGGGCGCAAGCCUGACCCAGCAACGCCGCGUGAAGGAAGAAGGCUUUCGGGUUGUAAACUUCUUUUGUCAGGGACGAGUAGAAGACGGUACCUGACGAAUAAGCCACGGCUAACUACGUGCCAGCAGCCGCGGUAAUACGUAGGUGGCAAGCGUUGUCCGGAUUUACUGGGUGUAAAGGGCGUGUAGCCGGGAGGGCAAGUCAGAUGUGAAAUCCACGGGCUCAACUCGUGAACUGCAUUUGAAACUACUCUUCUUGAGUAUCGGAGAGGCAAUCGGAAUUCCUAGUGUAGCGGUGAAAUGCGUAGAUAUUAGGAGGAACGCCAGUGGCGAAGGCGGAUUGCUGGACGACAACUGACGGUGAGGCGCGAAAGCGUGGGGAGCAAACAGGAUUAGAUACCCUGGUAGUCCACGCUGUAAACGAUGAAUACUAGGUGUGCGGGGACUGACCCCCUGCGUGCCGCAGCUAACGCAAUAAGUAUUCCACCUGGGGAGUACGAUCGCAAGGUUGCAACUCAAAGGAAUUGACGG
This 888-nucleotide ribosomal RNA is filed under the name uncultured Bacillota bacterium. RNAcentral describes it as "bacterial SSU rRNA". It matches the Rfam family "Bacterial small subunit ribosomal RNA", at positions 29 to 916 of the family's 1533-position model. The record is from RNAcentral. Lineage: Bacteria; Bacillati; Bacillota.